This 465-nucleotide ribosomal RNA is filed under the name uncultured bacterium. Its description in RNAcentral is "partial 16S ribosomal RNA". It matches the Rfam family "Bacterial small subunit ribosomal RNA", at positions 338 to 795 of the family's 1533-position model. The record is from RNAcentral.
CCUACGGGAGGCAGCAGUGGGGAAUUUUGGACAAUGGGCGCAAGCCUGAACCAGCUAAUCCGCGUGUGGGAAGACGGCCUUCGGGUUGUAAACCACUUUUGUAUAUAACGCAAAGUCUGUUGAUCAUCCCGAUAGCUGAUGACGGUACUGUAAGAGUAAGCACCAGCUAACUACGUGCCAGCAGCAGCGGUAAUACGUAGGGUUCGAGCGUUAAUCGGAAUUAGUGGGCGUAAAGCGUGUGCAGGCGGGUUUGCAAGAUGGAUGGGAAAGCCACGGGCUUAACCCGGGAACGCCAUACAUGACUGGAAGACUAGAGUGCGUGAGAGGGGGGUGGAAUUCCAAGUGUAGCGGUAAAAUGCGUAGAUAUAUGGAAGAACACCAGUGGCGAAGGCGGCCGCCUGGCCGGGUACUGACGCUGAGGCACGAAAGCGUGGGGAGCAAACAGGAUUAGAUACCCUAGUAGUC